AUGCCCCGUCCCUCUAAGUGUCAAGGCCAGGCUGGACGGGGCUCUGAGCAACCUGGUCUCCUGAAAGGUGUCCAUGGCAGGGAACUUGGAACUAGAUGCUCCUUAAGGUUCCUUCCAACUCAAAGCAUUCUGUGGCUUUCUGAAUUACAGUGGCCGGGGAGGGAAAAUGUGCGUCUUCUAUCCAAAGUGGGGCAGACACAAAGUGACCAGGGAGACUACUGCUACUUGCACUGGGCCAGCAGAGGACAAGUGCUGCAAGUGCUGCACACAGAUGUUGUGUGGAGAAUGACAGCACAGACACUGCAUCCACCUCCUACAGCUAUACUUACAAGGAUGGGUCAUCCACCAUGCAUCCAAGUGGCUGCACAGCUGUCCUCAAAGCUUGUUCCUUGGGCUUCCCAUAAUACUAGCCCAGACAUGCUUCCUUCUACCCGGUCCAGCUGGCUGCUAUUAUUUCUUCCCCACCUGCUCUGGGGAUGCCUUUGGUGUGUCCCAUGGCCUCGAGGUCACCUCAGCAGUUGGCUGCAGCAGAGGAGUCCAUCGGCAGCUCCCAAUCCACCUGCACGUCCUUGCCCAUGUCCAACAACACAGCCAGAAGUUCUCAUCUCAACAACCUUCAGGAGCAGAGCUGCUUUCUCUUAAGAAAAUAUGUGAUAGAGGAAUGUUUCCACAGAAAGAGCUUUGCACCAUCUCCCUCUUUCAUGCACUUCACUCCUCCCUGGGGCAAAAUGCUCACUAAAUACAUCAGUUGUGUUCCACAAGAAGCUGCUGAUACCAGAGAGUGAGCUGGGAAAGAAGAAAUGUGGUGGGUUGAUCCUAGUCAGCAGUGAAGCCUCCACUGCCAUUUGCUCACUCGCUCCUUCCUGCAGGAUGAAGCAGAGAUUCAGCAGGGUGAAGCCAUGGGAAAAAUACCUAUGGGUUGACAUAAAAGUCUUGUAGUGAAUAAAAAUAACAUAAAUAAGUGAUGCA
Parus major (Great Tit) is the source of this 969-nucleotide long non-coding RNA. NCBI's taxonomy places the organism in Eukaryota, Metazoa, Chordata, Aves, Passeriformes, Paridae. The record is from Ensembl.